This 352-nucleotide unclassified non-coding RNA is filed under the name soil metagenome. RNAcentral's name for it is "partial contains 5.8S ribosomal RNA, internal transcribed spacer 2, and large subunit ribosomal RNA". The stretch from base 1 to 121 matches the Rfam family "5.8S ribosomal RNA", at positions 35 to 154 of the family's 154-position model. The record is from RNAcentral.
GAUGAAGAACGCAGCGAAAUGCGAUAAGUAAUGCGAAUUGCAGAAUUUCCGUGAGUCAUCGAAUCUUUGAACGCACAUUGCGCCCGCCAGUAUUCUGGCGGGCAUGCCUGUCCGAGCGUCAUUUCAACCCUCGAGCCCCUCCGGGGGGUCGGCGUUGGGGAUCGGCCCCUCACCGGGCCGCCCCCGAAAUACAGUGGCGGUCUCGCCGCAGCCUCUCCUGCGCAGUAGUUUGCACACUCGCACCGGGAGCGCGGCGCGGCCACAGCCGUAAAACACCCCAAGCAUUCUGAAAUGUUGACCUCGGAUCAGGUAGGAAUACCCGCUGAACUUAAGCAUAUCAAUAAGCGGAGGA